UUAAGCGACUAAGCGUACACGGUGGAUGCCCUGGCAGUCAGAGGCGAUGAAGGACGUGCUAAUCUGCGAUAAGCGUCGGUGAGGUGAUAUGAACCGUUAUAACCGGCGAUUUCCGAAUGGGGAAACCCAGUGUGUUUCGACACACUAUCAUUAACUGAAUCCAUAGGUUAAUGAGGCGAACCGGGGGAACUGAAACAUCUAAGUACCCCGAGGAAAAGAAAUCAACCGAGAUUCCCCCAGUAGCGGCGAGCGAACGGGGAGGAGCCCAGAGCCUGAAUCAGUGUGUGUGUUAGUGGAAGCGUCUGGAAAGGCGCGCGAUACAGGGUGACAGCCCCGUACACAAAAAUGCACAUGCUGUGAGCUCGAUGAGUAGGGCGGGACACGUGGUAUCCUGUCUGAAUAUGGGGGGACCAUCCUCCAAGGCUAAAUACUCCUGACUGACCGAUAGUGAACCAGUACCGUGAGGGAAAGGCGAAAAGAACCCCGGCGAGGGGAGUGAAAAAGAACCUGAAACCGUGUACGUACAAGCAGUGGGAGCCUCUUUAUGGGGUGACUGCGUACCUUUUGUAUAAUGGGUCAGCGACUUAUAUUCUGUAGCAAGGUUAACCGAAUAGGGGAGCCGAAGGGAAACCGAGUCUUAACUGGGCGUUAAGUUGCAGGGUAUAGACCCGAAACCCGGUGAUCUAGCCAUGGGCAGGUUGAAGGUUGGGUAACACUAACUGGAGGACCGAACCGACUAAUGUUGAAAAAUUAGCGGAUGACUUGUGGCUGGGGGUGAAAGGCCAAUCAAACCGGGAGAUAGCUGGUUCUCCCCGAAAGCUAUUUAGGUAGCGCCUCGUGAAUUCAUCUCCGGGGGUAGAGCACUGUUUCGGCAAGGGGGUCAUCCCGACUUACCAACCCGAUGCAAACUGCGAAUACCGGAGAAUGUUAUCACGGGAGACACACGGCGGGUGCUAACGUCCGUCGUGAAGAGGGAAACAACCCAGACCGCCAGCUAAGGUCCCAAAGUCAUGGUUAAGUGGGAAACGAUGUGGGAAGGCCCAGACAGCCAGGAUGUUGGCUUAGAAGCAGCCAUCAUUUAAAGAAAGCGUAAUAGCUCACUGGUCGAGUCGGCCUGCGCGGAAGAUGUAACGGGGCUAAACCAUGCACCGAAGCUGCGGCAGCGACGCUUAUGCGUUGUUGGGUAGGGGAGCGUUCUGUAAGCCUGUGAAGGUGUGCUGUGAGGCAUGCUGGAGGUAUCAGAAGUGCGAAUGCUGACAUAAGUAACGAUAAAGCGGGUGAAAAGCCCGCUCGCCGGAAGACCAAGGGUUCCUGUCCAACGUUAAUCGGGGCAGGGUGAGUCGACCCCUAAGGCGAGGCCGAAAGGCGUAGUCGAUGGGAAACAGGUUAAUAUUCCUGUACUUGGUGUUACUGCGAAGGGGGGACGGAGAAGGCUAUGUUGGCCGGGCGACGGUUGUCCCGGUUUAAGCGUGUAGGCUGGUUUUCCAGGCAAAUCCGGAAAACCAAGGCUGAGGCGUGAUGACGAGGCACUACGGUGCUGAAGCGACAAAUGCCCUGCUUCCAGGAAAAGCCUCUAAGCAUCAGGUAACAUCAAAUCGUACCCCAAACCGACACAGGUGGUCAGGUAGAGAAUACCAAGGCGCUUGAGAGAACUCGGGUGAAGGAACUAGGCAAAAUGGUGCCGUAACUUCGGGAGAAGGCACGCUGAUAUGUAGGUGAAGCGACUUGCUCGUGGAGCUGAAAUCAGUCGAAGAUACCAGCUGGCUGCAACUGUUUAUUAAAAACACAGCACUGUGCAAACACGAAAGUGGACGUAUACGGUGUGACGCCUGCCCGGUGCCGGAAGGUUAAUUGAUGGGGUUAGCGGCAACGCGAAGCUCUUGAUCGAAGCCCCGGUAAACGGCGGCCGUAACUAUAACGGUCCUAAGGUAGCGAAAUUCCUUGUCGGGUAAGUUCCGACCUGCACGAAUGGCGUAAUGAUGGCCAGGCUGUCUCCACCCGAGACUCAGUGAAAUUGAACUCGCUGUGAAGAUGCAGUGUACCCGCGGCAAGACGGAAAGACCCCGUGAACCUUUACUAUAGCUUGACACUGAACAUUGAGCCUUGAUGUGUAGGAUAGGUGGGAGGCUUUGAAGUGUGGACGCCAGUCUGCAUGGAGCCGACCUUGAAAUACCACCCUUUAAUGUUUGAUGUUCUAACGUUGGCCCGUAAUCCGGGUUGCGGACAGUGUCUGGUGGGUAGUUUGACUGGGGCGGUCUCCUCCUAAAGAGUAACGGAGGAGCACGAAGGUUGGCUAAUCCUGGUCGGACAUCAGGAGGUUAGUGCAAUGGCAUAAGCCAGCUUGACUGCGAGCGUGACGGCGCGAGCAGGUGCGAAAGCAGGUCAUAGUGAUCCGGUGGUUCUGAAUGGAAGGGCCAUCGCUCAACGGAUAAAAGGUACUCCGGGGAUAACAGGCUGAUACCGCCCAAGAGUUCAUAUCGACGGCGGUGUUUGGCACCUCGAUGUCGGCUCAUCACAUCCUGGGGCUGAAGUAGGUCCCAAGGGUAUGGCUGUUCGCCAUUUAAAGUGGUACGCGAGCUGGGUUUAGAACGUCGUGAGACAGUUCGGUCCCUAUCUGCCGUGGGCGCUGGAGAACUGAGGGGGGCUGCUCCUAGUACGAGAGGACCGGAGUGGACGCAUCACUGGUGUUCGGGUUGUCAUGCCAAUGGCACUGCCCGGUAGCUAAAUGCGGAAGAGAUAAGUGCUGAAAGCAUCUAAGCACGAAACUUGCCCCGAGAUGAGUUCUCCCUGACUCCUUGAGAGUCCUGAAGGAACGUUGAAGACGACGACGUUGAUAGGCCGGGUGUGUAAGCGCAGCGAUGCGUUGAGCUAACCGGUACUAAUGAACCGUGAGGCUUAACCUU
RNAcentral lists this ribosomal RNA (2903 nucleotides) under Escherichia coli HVH 197 (4-4466217). RNAcentral describes it as "bacterial LSU rRNA". It matches the Rfam family "Bacterial large subunit ribosomal RNA". RNAcentral also lists the same sequence under 1 other name. The record is from RNAcentral. Lineage: Bacteria; Pseudomonadati; Pseudomonadota; Gammaproteobacteria; Enterobacterales; Enterobacteriaceae.